AGCAGCCGCGGUAAUACGUAGAGUGCAAGCGUUGUCCGGAAUUAUUGGGCGUAAAGGGUACGCAGGCGGAUAAUCAAGUCAAGCGUGAAAGGUGUCGGCUUAACCGACAGACUGCGUUUGAAACUGGUUAUCUUGAGUGUAACAGAGGAGAGUGGAAUUCCUAGUGUAGUGGUGAAAUACGUAGAUAUUAGGAAGAACACCAGUGGCGAAGGCGACUCUCUGGGUUAACACUGACGCUGAGGUACGAAAGCUGGGGGAGCGAACGGGAUUAGAUACCCCGGUAGUCCCAGCCGUAAACGAUGGAUACUAGGUGUUGGAGGUUCGAAUCCUUCAGUGCCGGAGUUWUCGCAUUAAGUAUCCCGCCUGGGGAUUACGAU
RNAcentral lists this ribosomal RNA (377 nucleotides) under uncultured bacterium. Its description in RNAcentral is "bacterial SSU rRNA". It matches the Rfam family "Bacterial small subunit ribosomal RNA", at positions 510 to 886 of the family's 1533-position model. The record is from RNAcentral.